AUGGUCAUGGAGGCCCUUCACCACCUGCUUCAACGCGCGGCCUCAGAGGGGUUGUUGACUCCCCUUGCACUAAACGGUCUACAGCUCAGGACAUCGAUAUAUGCGGAUGAUGUGGUCACCUUUCUAAGGCCUGACCGUGGGAGCCUCAGGGCAUGCGCCGCACUGCUCACAGAUUUUGGUACGGCUUCGGGCCUACGGACGAACAUGGUCAAGUGUUCUGCGCACCCGAUUCGUUGUUCGGAGGAGCAAGUGCAGUGGAUAGCUGAGGAGCUAGGUUGCCAGGCGAUCGGAUGGCCUUGCCGGUACCUCGGGUUGCCUUUGGGCUUGCGCAAGGUAUCGGCAUCGCAGUUACAGUAUGUGGUGGAUAGAAUGGCCGAUCGCCUUCCCGCAUGGCAAGCGAGACUGCUCUUCCGGGCUGCGCGUCUGGAGCUAGUAAAGACCACGCUAGCGUCCAUGCCCAUACAUGCGAUGGUGGCGCUGGACCUGCCAGUGAAAACCAUCGAAGCUGCAAAUAAGAUAUGUCGCAGUUUUCUGUGGAAGGGACGCCGAGACGUGCAUGCCGGUCAUUGUCUAGUGACAUGGGAUCAGGUGUGCACGCCAAAGGAGUAUGGCGGCCUCGGCAUUCCGAAUUUGCGCAUUCUCAACGCCGCACUCCGAGCAAGAUGGCCUUGGUUAAUGCGAACGGAGCACGACCGGCCAUGGAAUGAGUUCAACAUUCAAGUGUCACCGGACUCCUUGAGCAUAUACAAGGCGGCGAUGAAGUGCAUGAUAGGAAAUGGAGAGGUGCCUUUGUUCUGGACAGAUUGA
RNAcentral lists this ribosomal RNA (807 nucleotides) under Triticum aestivum (bread wheat). RNAcentral describes it as "partial small subunit ribosomal RNA". The record is from RNAcentral. Lineage: Eukaryota; Viridiplantae; Streptophyta; Magnoliopsida; Poales; Poaceae.